UACGUAGGGACCAAGCGUUGUUCGGAUUUACUGGGCGUAAAGGGCGCGUAGGCGGCGUGUUAAGUCAGCUGUGAAAUCUCCAAGCUUAACUUGGAACGGUCAGCUGAUACUGAUGUGCUAGAGUGCAGAAAGGGCAAUCGGAAUUCUUGGUGUAGCGGUGAAAUGCGUAGAUAUCAAGAGGAACACCUGAGGCGAAGGCGGGUUGCUAGGCUGACACUGACGCUGAGGCGCGAAAGCUAGGGGAGCAAACGGG
Molecule: ribosomal RNA, 253 nt
Filed under: uncultured bacterium
Lineage: Bacteria
Description: partial 16S ribosomal RNA
Rfam family: Bacterial small subunit ribosomal RNA
Source: RNAcentral